UACGAGGGGUGCAAGCGUUAUUCGGAUUUAUUGGGCGUAAAGGGUGCGUAGGUGGUAUGUUAAGUCUGUUGUUAAAUUUUCCGGCCUAACCGGAAGCAUGCAGUGGAAACUGGCAAACUUGAGGAUGGAAGAGGGAAGUGGAAUUCUCGGAGUAGCGGUAAAAUGCGUGGAUCUCGAGAGGAACACCGAUGGCGAAGGCAGCUUCCUGGUCCAUAUCUGACACUGAGGCACGAAAGCGUGGGGAGCAAAC
This 250-nucleotide ribosomal RNA is filed under the name uncultured bacterium. RNAcentral's name for it is "partial 16S ribosomal RNA". It matches the Rfam family "Bacterial small subunit ribosomal RNA", at positions 524 to 773 of the family's 1533-position model. The record is from RNAcentral.